GCUGUAGUGUGGGAGGGCAUCAUUUAUCUAGCAGGGCCCCGCACUUCCCCUCGCUAUAACUGCUCUAAUUGUCAUAUAAAAGCACAGAGAGCGUGUCACAGUGAUCAAUACUGAGCUCAGCCUAAUAGACGCGGAAUCACAGACGGAGAGGCAAAGAUAGACGGAGGGGGAAAAAGUCUGCUUCGUGCUCCUGAUGGAAGUCUGAUGGCAGCUUCUCUGGACCACCAAGGUUGCUCCUCCGUGACUGCUGAUGCAAGCCAGGCCUUGACCCCGCUCAACACUACUGAUAGUUCAGGCUUCUCAUUUUGAACUCCGCCUGGAGGAAGGCUGGGAAAUUCCUUUGCGUCUCUGAAGUAAACAGACAUUAAUCACUUCUUUAGAGGGGAAUGUCAAAUGGACAGCCCGAGGCAUGUUAAGGGGCCACACAGAGGCACACGGGACCAGGAGAUAGAUGCUGGAGGGCUGCAGGGUGUUUUGCCCCCCUAUGGGAUGUCUACAGCACCAGCUGAUAGGGCCAGCAAGUCCACCUUGGGCUUCAAGAUGAGUCCGACUUCCUGAGACUGGAGGGGAGCCAUGGACUAGUCGGCAUCGAAACCCAAAUCAGGAUAAAAAAAGAAACAUGGCUCCCAGCAAGGAUUUGCUUCAGGAGAUGGAGAUUAAAUCAGGGAGACCUACCAUUUUCCUGAAAAGACAAAGGUGAGGACGCCACAAAGAUGCAACUGAGACAGUUCAGCAUCAAAAACUGAAGAAAAACUGGCUGGAAUCCUAUAAAAAGCUGAGAUGCCCUCAAUUAUGGGGGGACGGAAAAGUCUUUAAUAGCUGACCAACUGGACAUCGCAGCAGUCAACAAACUGCAGACGAAGAGGGGUCAUAUCAAGUAACUUUUAUUCAAUAGCAGAAACAUGAGUUUCUGUUUUGAGAACUACCCAAAACUGAAGAAGGAAGUGCAAAAAUGUAGAGUGUGAAAGGCAACACUGAUUCCUGUGGUAAUCAGAGCGCUCGGGGUUGUGACCCUAAACUGAGAGAGCAGCUCAACAGUAUGCAGAAAUAGUAUGGGAGAAUUCUGAGUGACAGAAAAACCCAGAAACAAGGGAGCUACCUGCAGGCUAAUAUUUACUGAAGGGUUAAUUGUUGAACCAG
This is a long non-coding RNA of Oryzias latipes (Japanese medaka), 1140 nucleotides long. RefSeq lists it as uncharacterized. NCBI's taxonomy places the organism in Eukaryota, Metazoa, Chordata, Actinopteri, Beloniformes, Adrianichthyidae. The record is from RefSeq and is a predicted model, not a curated record.